UGGAGGUUCAUCCGUUGCCAAGCUAGAAAUCUCUUGGGGAGAUAGUGUUGUCCAAGUAAAUGGGAAGAUAAUUGAUAAAAAAUUCAGUGUGAUCUUUAAUGCUGGAGAUGAGGUGGUGUUCAGUUCAUGUAGUGAACAUGCUUAUGUAUCCUUCUAUCCAUAAUGUUAUCUAUAAUGUUUGGUACAAAUUACGAGAUUUCCUAGCAACUCAAGACUGAGGCAUCACUAGUCAGCUCUGCCUUCUUCACUGGGCUUAGCAGAAGCACAUGGUCUGCAGUUUGAAGCGAGGUCCAGGACCCAGCUGUGGCCGGAGCAUCAAUAUAAGCCUCUCUUUCAAAUCUUAGAAAAGAUUUAUCGCUUCUUCCUCCUACCCAGAGAUCCCUCCAUUGUAGAGACACUACUUCCAAAACACUUAAGGUCUUAUUUUCGUGGUUGAAAGCAAUAACAGAGACCGUGUUGUUGAGGGAAGGGAUGAACUGCAGACGAAGUUUAGUGAGGCCUUUGUGAAGUUUGUCUAACCGAUAGAAGUGGCAUUUGCUUGCUUCAGUUAGUGUUUUUAUCACUUUGCUUGGUGCUGACUUCAUGAGAAUGGAAUCUUUCGACAAAGUUGAAGAGUUUGCGGAGACUCUGUUAGUGAACUAGAUAGAAUUUGGCAAAAGGGCAUCUGCAAGACUUACCGCAAGCAAAAUUUUCAAACGUAGGUAGAAGAUAACGGAGAAGAACAUGAAGAGCAUGGAACCCAAGAAGAAGAGGCUGUUGAUGUCUAUGUUGAUUCUACAGAUGGCGCUAUUCUUGUCAACAGUAAUGAAGCUGAAGAAGAGUGGGAUACAACUAAUGAAGGAACCUUAUCAUCCUAAAAGCAAUUGGUUUGGCUAAAUAGGUCGCAGAUAUGAGCAGUAAGUGCGACUAUUUACAAGGCUGGUUAUGAAGCAACAAGAAGCUAUACUUGUUUGAGCAUGUAGGUAAUGAAUGUUGAGCUUGUCUCCAGUCUUGUGCCUUUAAGAUUGUAUCUACUACUGCUAUUACACUUCACAUUACAACUACAACCGCAGAAUUUCUAUUUUCUGAAAACUUAGGAAACAUUUACAUACUUGUCAUUUUUUUGAUACUAUGCACAGAAUUUGCAUGUCCUUGGAACUUAAGAAGUAUUUCUAGCUACAGAUUGGAACUUAAGAAAUUUAUAUGUAUUGCCUAAGUAGUUCUUUUCAGAGGUAUACAAAAUAAGUCUUUAGUUUA
This is a long non-coding RNA of Papaver somniferum (opium poppy), 1236 nucleotides long. RefSeq lists it as uncharacterized. Lineage: Eukaryota; Viridiplantae; Streptophyta; Magnoliopsida; Ranunculales; Papaveraceae. The transcript has 7 exons. The record is from RefSeq and is a predicted model, not a curated record.